UACGUAGGUGGCAAGCGUUGUCCGGAAUUAUUGGGCGUAAAGCGCGCGCAGGCGGUCCUUUAAGUCUGAUGUGAAAGCCCACGGCUCAACCGUGGAGGGUCAUUGGAAACUGGGGGACUUGAGUGCAGAAGAGGAGAGCGGAAUUCCAUGUGUAGCGGUGAAAUGCGUAGAUAUAUGGAGGAACACCAGUGGCGAAGGCGGCUCUCUGGUCUGUAACUGACGCUGAGGCUCGAAAGCGUGGGGAGCAAACAGG
This 253-nucleotide ribosomal RNA is filed under the name uncultured bacterium. RNAcentral describes it as "partial 16S ribosomal RNA". It matches the Rfam family "Bacterial small subunit ribosomal RNA", at positions 524 to 776 of the family's 1533-position model. The record is from RNAcentral.